This 18-nucleotide microRNA is filed under the name Rattus norvegicus (Norway rat). RNAcentral describes it as "rno-miR-149-3p". Its record names the gene rno-miR-149-3p. The record is from miRBase by way of RNAcentral. Lineage: Eukaryota; Metazoa; Chordata; Mammalia; Rodentia; Muridae.
GGGACGGGGGCGGUGCUG